AUCAAUGAAAACUUCCUCAAAAACGUCACAUCAUAGGCUUUCUGGCGAUAUGAUUGGUUAAGGGAUUUGUGGCGCGAAUUUAUUUUACUACGUGAAGGAAAAAUCAAGAGUUGACCUCUCCCUCCACUAGAGGAAAAACAGCAGGAAGCACUAUGCAUCGUUGAUCUUGACGUCGUCUAAAGGAGAAACUACUGGAUCAUCUGAGAUGGAGGGAGAGAAGUAUGUGCAACUGAGGUGAAAGCAGCCGACUGCUGAUGGCAAACAUGACCCCAAGGACCACGGUGGCAUGGACAUGGGACAUGGAUGGGUAGUUUCUGGAUGAAGAGGAAGACAAUGAUGUGGUAGAGGAGGAGGGUAAUCUCCCAUCAUCCUCAGCUGGAGGAGACAAGUUUCAAGAAAGGUCCUGUAUGAACAAACCAGACAGCAGUGGCUUAGUAUAGUGAACACUGAAAGUUUCUUGAGAAGAUGGAAAGAGGCAGAAAGGCGUGUGAUCUUUUUUUCCCUCUUUCAGCUAAUGGCUGACUCAGUUGCUGGCAGGAUAUGGAAACACACCGGCACCAAAAAUGUGUAUCCUCGUUGCGUGAUGAUAUUUCUAUUGAUAGUCACAACAAGAAAAGGCAUGCAGACAAGCACACAUCAUUUACAAUGUCAUUACUUAUAUCAGAUCAGAUGAAUAAAUGAGUUUAUAGUUUCAACUGAAACAUUAUUAAUGGUUUGUUCCCAUGAGAACCUGUUAUUGAGCAUCAUGCAGUUUGCAUCUCAGGGCUGAAAUGAGAACAAGAGUUUCGUCAUGUAACUGAAUUGCGAUGGCAGCUACUGCCUCAAGCCUUGAAAUGCAGCGUCUUCUGUUCGGGCCUUUUGAGCUAUUGCAGUUAUUUCUCGCUGUG
This is a long non-coding RNA of Alosa sapidissima (American shad), 887 nucleotides long. RefSeq lists it as uncharacterized. The record is from RefSeq and is a predicted model, not a curated record. Lineage: Eukaryota; Metazoa; Chordata; Actinopteri; Clupeiformes; Clupeidae. The transcript is spliced from 4 exons.